Molecule: ribosomal RNA, 342 nt
Filed under: Heterodrilus perkinsi
Lineage: Eukaryota; Metazoa; Annelida; Clitellata; Tubificida; Naididae
Description: partial 16S ribosomal RNA
Rfam family: Bacterial large subunit ribosomal RNA
Source: RNAcentral
CUAAGGUAGCAUAAUAAUUUGUCUAUUAAUUGUAGUCUAGAAUGAAUGGGUAAACGCACACCUAGCUUUCUCAUCUAUAUAUUUAAAAUUUGUCCUAAAAGUGAAAAGACUUUUAUUAUAUUAAAGGACAAGAAGACCCUAUAGAGCUUUACAUAUCCAUCUAAUUAAAAGAUAUUAUAUGUUUCAAUGGGGUGUUGAGAGAUAUUUACAUUAACAUCUCUUAUCUCCUAAGACUUACUAGUCUCUCACUUUAAACUCCCCUGGAAUUAAGAAAAGUUACCUUAGGGAUAACAGGCUAAUACUCCUCAAGAGCCCAUAUUUACAGGAGUGUUUGGCACCUCG